RNAcentral lists this long non-coding RNA (932 nucleotides) under Danio rerio (zebrafish). RNAcentral's name for it is "lncRNA (ENSDARG00000117392.1)". Lineage: Eukaryota; Metazoa; Chordata; Actinopteri; Cypriniformes; Danionidae. The record is from RNAcentral.
AUGGUCCCACAGAUUACAUGUCCGAAAACUGUUGAAAGGAUCACUGAGACAGUAAUGGCCUGGCUGAAAGUAAAAGGAAAGAGUCCGUGUGAGGGUCGGGUGUAUGUCUAUUCCGCUACUCUCGGUGAAAAGCCUUUGUGCUGCUCAAGUCACAAAAGAACCAGCUUGUUGCGUGGACUGUGUAAGGACAUGCGGUGUGGAGACUUGAACUCUGUUACUAACUUUAAUGAAUACAAUUCUGGGAUUGAGCUCACAAGCAAUAUGACGUUGAACAUCACUCAGUGCUCAGGCCUGAGUAUAAGCUGCACAGAUUCGCUUGGAAAUGAGUUGGUCGCUUAUAAAGCAGUAACUGGCAUAUUGAUCUUCAUCCUGGUUUUCAUUUUGAUUCAGUUCAGUCGCCCCACGAUCAAAGUCAUCCGAAAAAGAUGUGAGUUGGUGAAGUCGCUCUUUAAUCUCUUUAAUGUUUCUACAUGCAUGGAAUAAUGUAACAUUUCUGUGUUCGCUUAUAAUUUUCUGUACAAAGACUGUAUUUAAAAUAGGCAUUAAAGAUAUAUAAAGUAAAAUCGAGAAGAAAUGUUUCAGAUGAUACACUUUUAUAACUCUCCAAACAAGCAAAUCGAAGCAAAUUACAGAGACUGAUCAUGUGAACUCUGUGCAGAGCUUCUUAGUCUUGUGUAAAGUCUUUGCGAGUUGUACAUUCAGCACGUAGUUAUAGAGAUGUGGCAGGUGACACACUGAAUUAAAAGUGACAUUUUAAUCCCAAAAGACUGAAAUAAUUUUCCUGUAAGAUUUAUCUAACAUCAUUUUAGUGGUCCAAUAAAAACAAUACGAUUUGAUUUGUUCUAGCGCUCAUGCAUGAGGAUUUGACAGCUCUGCAUGGUUCCUCAGAACAUAGUCACACUCAUUUUCAACUCAGAAAUUUUUUACUCAAA